RNAcentral lists this long non-coding RNA (334 nucleotides) under Mustela putorius furo (domestic ferret). RNAcentral describes it as "lncRNA (ENSMPUG00000027423.1)". The record is from RNAcentral. Lineage: Eukaryota; Metazoa; Chordata; Mammalia; Carnivora; Mustelidae.
GUCAGCAUACAUUUUCUAUAAAGGGCCAGAGAGUAAAUAUAUUUGGCUUUGAGGGCCAGACUGUCUCUGUUGCCAUGGCUUGGCUCUGCCAACAUAGAGUAGGCAGGAGUGUCCUUGUUGGUGGGUGACCCUCCCAGGAGCUUCCCAGCUGCAGUGAGAAAGUGGCCCUUGUUUUCCGAGGGCUAGGAGAGACAGAAGGGAGAGGCAGACCACUCCAGGAGCUUCACUUGACCUCUGUGGGCAUCAGCACAGACCAGGCAUGACUCCGGAAGGGGAGCUCAGAUUCCAAGCAGAGAAGAGAGAGGUAGAUACCUGUGACAAGACUGUUCUGCAC